GCCCUUAUAGCUCAAUGGUAGAGCUCCUGUCUAGAAAGCUAAAUGCCAGUGGUUCAAUCCCCAUCCGGGUCA
This is a non-coding RNA of Phytophthora infestans T30-4, 72 nucleotides long. The record is from the annotation of a RefSeq genome assembly. Lineage: Eukaryota; Oomycota; Peronosporomycetes; Peronosporales; Peronosporaceae.